RNAcentral lists this long non-coding RNA (548 nucleotides) under Equus asinus (donkey). Its description in RNAcentral is "lncRNA (ENSEASG00005033456.1)". Lineage: Eukaryota; Metazoa; Chordata; Mammalia; Perissodactyla; Equidae. The record is from RNAcentral.
AGCCACCAUCCUGGAAAGAAAAGCCCAGCCUACCACGGAGAAAUAAGAAAAUGAAAUGGGUAAAGCUCAGAGAAAUGCCAUAAAAUGACUUUUGAAAGGAUGCAUACGUGGUGUCCACAUUUUGUGAAGUGAGAAUGAGACCACGCUGGGCUCUAAGACGCCUCCAGUGCUCACGUGCUGUGCAAUCUCUAGCAUUUAACCUCACUGAGCCUCAGUUUUCCUACUAGUCAAAUGGAGAUACCAAGGAAUCAACUGUCUGGAUUACAGGAUCUUCGUCUCUAAAAUGAGAAAUGUGCACUGGAUCAGAUUGUGCUGCUGUCAUUGCAUUCCUCACUGGGUAUCCAGAAGAUGGCGGAGAGGACAGCGUCCAAGUGUUUGGUUCACAAAGCCACUUCCCUUUAUCUGUUCCACAUAUUGUUAAUAUUGUUUUUAAAUCAUAGAACUAGAUAAUAUCAUAGGCUCCUAUGGCUAUAAAAUCCUAUGAUUUGAGCAUUGAUUAGAGUCCCUGGGAGUCGGGGUGCAAACUGGUCUGCAAUGAUAUUCUGAAG